This 406-nucleotide ribosomal RNA is filed under the name uncultured bacterium. RNAcentral's name for it is "partial 16S ribosomal RNA". It matches the Rfam family "Bacterial small subunit ribosomal RNA", at positions 30 to 526 of the family's 1533-position model. The record is from RNAcentral.
AUUGAACGCUGGCGGCAGGCCUAACACAUGCAAGUCGAACGAGUGGCGGACGGGUGAGUAAUGUCUGGGAAACUGCCUGAUGGAGGGGGAUAACUACUGGAAACGGUAGCUAAUACCGCAUACCAUCCGAUGUUCCCAGAUGGGAUUAGCUUGUUGGUGGGGUAAGGGCUCACCAGGGCGACGAUCCCUAGCUGGUCUGAGAGGAUGACCAGCCACACUGUAACUGAGACCAGGUCCAGACGCCUACGGUAGGAAGCAUUGGGGAAUAUUGGACAAUGGGCGCAAGCCUGAUGCAGCCAUGCCGCGGGUAUGAAGAAGGCCUUCGGGUUGUAAAGUACUUUCAGCGGGGAGGCGUUACCCGCAGAAGAAGCACCGGCUAACUCCGUGCCAGCCGCCGCGGUAAUUC